UUACUUUCUUAUAAUUGAUAUCAUGAAGUCUAGCGAAGUAUCCUUGUGAAUUCACAAAUUUUGGUGUGCAAUGAGAUGGCUAUAAUGUAAAUAGACUUCUUGCACUUUUUAAUCAACAAACAAUGGUAAAGCCGUAUUAGUUAAUGGUAGAAGAUUAACUAUGAGUAAGAAUAAAUGUCUCUUCACUAUACAUAGUAUUUUCAUAUAACUAUUAAAAAUGUGAAUAUUACAAGUUUACAAUUGGGCUUUGUUUAUUUUCAGUUUUUUAUUUUUAUUUUUUCCUCCUCUGAAACGAAGAAGGAAAUUAACUAGGUCAACUGGAAAACUAGAGAGGAAACACCAUAACUCUUGAUAGACGUUCCCGACAUUUUAUCUAUUGACAAGUUCAUCU
Molecule: long non-coding RNA, 391 nt
Filed under: Olea europaea (common olive)
Lineage: Eukaryota; Viridiplantae; Streptophyta; Magnoliopsida; Lamiales; Oleaceae
Description: long non-coding RNA (OEUR_LNC002824)
Source: RNAcentral